ACCUUAUGAGAUAUUGCGAUGUAUUCAGUAAACUUCAAACUCAGACGUACACAAUCAAAGGACUUAAUCACACUGAAUUUUAUUUUUCUGGCAAAAAUUAAAGAAGAAUAAAAGAUAAAAGGAAGAAGAUUUCAGAGAACGAAAGUUUCAUCAGCAAGAUGAAUUUCUUUAAUCCAACUUUGCUUUUAUUUCUUGGUAUAUUGCUGUACGCAGCCAUGUUUACUAACAGCCAGGUCAUUCUCGCUCCCGCUGGACGUCAAACCUGUCCGCAAAGCGGUAUGAUCCGCUUGCAGAACCAACCUCAUUAUCCAAUGAAGGUUGUAGUCGCGUUGGAUCAGUUAACCUCAGACAAAAGCAGCAAUGCUCCCCCAGCCGAUGCAAUCUCUCAAGCGUCGCGCUGCCGGCCCGAAGCGAGCCGCAUCUUCACCAAGCUGUUUAGCAUCCCUGGUGCCGUCGCUGACUCAUUCCUUAGUGGAGAGAUAAUGUUUUAAAUAGCAAUAAAUGAUGU
Long non-coding RNA from Papilio xuthus (Asian swallowtail), 508 nucleotides. RefSeq lists it as uncharacterized. NCBI's taxonomy places the organism in Eukaryota, Metazoa, Arthropoda, Insecta, Lepidoptera, Papilionidae. The record is from RefSeq and is a predicted model, not a curated record. The transcript has 4 exons.